RNAcentral lists this ribosomal RNA (465 nucleotides) under Vreelandella stevensii. RNAcentral's name for it is "partial 16S ribosomal RNA". It matches the Rfam family "Bacterial small subunit ribosomal RNA", at positions 338 to 795 of the family's 1533-position model. Lineage: Bacteria; Pseudomonadati; Pseudomonadota; Gammaproteobacteria; Oceanospirillales; Halomonadaceae. The record is from RNAcentral.
CCUACGGGUGGCUGCAGUGGGGAAUAUUGGACAAUGGGGGGAACCCUGAUCCAGCCAUGCCGCGUGUGUGAAGAAGGCCCUCGGGUUGUAAAGCACUUUCAGUGAGGAAGAACGCCUGGUGGUUAAUACCCAUCAGGAAAGACAUCACUCACAGAAGAAGCACCGGCUAACUCCGUGCCAGCAGCCGCGGUAAUACGGAGGGUGCGAGCGUUAAUCGGAAUUACUGGGCGUAAAGCGCGCGUAGGUGGCUUGAUAAGCCGGUUGUGAAAGCCCCGGGCUCAACCUGGGAACGGCAUCCGGAACUGUCCAGCUAGAGUGCAGGAGAGGAAGGUAGAAUUCCCGGUGUAGCGGUGAAAUGCGUAGAGAUCGGGAGGAAUACCAGUGGCGAAGGCGGCCUUCUGGACUGACACUGACACUGAGGUGCGAAAGCGUGGGUAGCAAACAGGAUUAGAUACCCGGGUAGUC